This 399-nucleotide ribosomal RNA is filed under the name uncultured bacterium. RNAcentral's name for it is "partial 16S ribosomal RNA". It matches the Rfam family "Bacterial small subunit ribosomal RNA", at positions 360 to 776 of the family's 1533-position model. The record is from RNAcentral.
AAUUUUGGACAAUGGGGGAAACCCUGAUCCAGCCAUCCCGCGUGUAUGAUGAAGGCCUUCGGGUUGUAAAGCUCUGUCUUCGCUGACGAUAAUGACGGUAAGCGAGGAGGAAGCCACGGCUAACUACGUGCCAGCAGCCGCGGUAAUACGUAGGUGGCAAGCGUUGUCUGGAAUUACUGGGCGGAAAGAAUGCGUAGGCGGCUUUUUAAGUGGGAUGUGAAAUCCCUGGGCUCAACCCAGGAACUGCAUUCCGAACUGGAGAGCUAGAGUGUGGGAGAGGAAAAUGGUAUUCCCAGUGUAGCGGUGAAAUGCGUAGAGAUUGGGAGGAACACCAGUAGCGAAGGCGAUUUUCUGGAACAUAACUGACGCUGAGGCAUGAAAGCGUGGGGAGCAAACAGG